AGAUGGGGUCUCGCUACAUUGACCAAGCUGGUCUCAAAAUCCUGGCCUGAAGCAAUCCUCCCGCCUCAGACUCCCAAGGUGCUGUGAUGACACGUGUGAGCCACCCCGCACAGCCCAGCUUCACCAUCUUAAGGGCACACUCCAUUAGCAUUAAGUAUAUUCUAAUGUUGUGCAAACAUCACCACAAUCCAUUUCCAGAACUCUUUUCCUCUUAUAAAACUGAAACUCUGAGCCUAUUAAACAACUCCCCACUCCCCUCCCCAAGCCCUUGGCACCACCAUUCCACUUUCUGUCUCUGAAUCUGGCCACUCCCGGCACCUCAUAUGAGUGGAAUCGGGCAGUGUUUGUCUUUUGUGUCUGGCGUAUUUCACUUAGCAUGAUAUCCUCCAGGUUCAUUCAUGACCUUCAGAGUUUCCUUCCUUCUUAGGGAUCUGGCAGCCUUGGCCCAAGCAAUCCCAGUGGGCGCAUCUUGGGAGCUGACUUUGGGGCCACCUUUCCCCAUGCUGCCUGGGGACCAGAGAACACUGACCGCGGGAAAGACCGAUGCUGCCGAGGCCAGGAGGAGGGGGAGGCCGUCAUCUGUGGGUCCCCAGCAGCGCUUGGGGUCCUGGCCACUCCAGCGGCCCCUUGCACCUGCCUCCAGGGAUCCUUUGUCUUCAAAAUAACCUCCCUCCACCUUCCGGCUCAUAGUGCCUUGGGUGGAUCUGUUCCCAUUUCCCACAAGCCUGCAGGGUGGUGACAGGCCCUCAUUCCCAUGUGCCCCAAGAUUUCGGAUUCCAAAAAUACAUCCCCUGGCUCCCCGGAGAAGUGUGUCACGGUGUCUCCGUUUCACCACUGACAGGGCCAAAGGAUGUGCUCUCCUCUCCCGAGCUGCCAUGGUCAAGGCAAGCCAGGACUCACCUCAGGCUGGCCCAGCCCCUCACCCCACACUGGCUCUGGGGGCCACGGCUGGCGAAGCCUCUGCGGUAGUUGGGGAUCAGGCAGGCCGAGGGUCUGGCCUGUGCCGAGACCUGCACAGCUGGGUCAGCGGCUGCCUCUGUAUUCAUUUCCUGAGGCUGCUGUGACAAGUCACCACAUACCUGGUGGCUGAAAACAACACAUUUACUCCGCUCGCAGUUCUGGAGCCCAGAAGUGCAGUGUCACGGGGGUGAAGGCGAGGCGUCGGGGGCCGCUCCUCCUCCAGAGGCUGGGCCUUCCCAGGAGCUUAUCCACUCCUGGCCUCUCCCUGCUUAUGGGGGCUGCCAGGG
This 1247-nucleotide long non-coding RNA is filed under the name Homo sapiens (human). RNAcentral's name for it is "HSALNT0098980". Lineage: Eukaryota; Metazoa; Chordata; Mammalia; Primates; Hominidae. The record is from RNAcentral.